AUACGGAGGGAGCGAGCGUUAAUCGGAAUUACUGGGCGUAAAGCGCGCGUAGGCGGCUUUGUAAGUCGGAUGUGAAAGCCCUGGGCUUAACCUGGGAAUGGCAUUCGAUACUGCAGAGCUAGAGUAUGGUAGAGGGAAGUGGAAUUUCCGGUGUAGCGGUGAAAUGCGUAGAUAUCGGAAGGAACACCAGUGGCGAAGGCGACUUCCUGGGCCAAUACUGACGCUGAGGUGCGAAAGCGUGGGGAGCAAACAGGAUUAGAUACCCCAGUAGUCC
This 274-nucleotide ribosomal RNA is filed under the name uncultured bacterium. Its description in RNAcentral is "partial 16S ribosomal RNA". It matches the Rfam family "Bacterial small subunit ribosomal RNA", at positions 523 to 796 of the family's 1533-position model. The record is from RNAcentral.